RNAcentral lists this ribosomal RNA (248 nucleotides) under uncultured bacterium. RNAcentral describes it as "partial 16S ribosomal RNA". It matches the Rfam family "Bacterial small subunit ribosomal RNA", at positions 57 to 305 of the family's 1533-position model. The record is from RNAcentral.
GCAAGUCGAACGGUAACAGACCUAGCUUGCUAGGCGCUGACGCGUGGCGGACGGGUGAGUAAUGCGUAGGAAUCUGCCUUAGUGGGGGACAACUCGAGGAAACUCGGGCUAAUACCGCAUAAGCUCUACGGAGUAAAGUGGGGGACCUUCGGGCCUCACGCUAUAAGAUGAGCCUACGUCGGAUUAGCUUGUUGGUGGGGUAAAGGCCUACCAAGGCGACGAUCCGUAGCUGGUCUGAGAGGAUGAUC